This 858-nucleotide long non-coding RNA is filed under the name Homo sapiens (human). Its description in RNAcentral is "non-protein coding lnc-STRBP-4:1". The record is from RNAcentral. Lineage: Eukaryota; Metazoa; Chordata; Mammalia; Primates; Hominidae.
AGAUGAAUUUAGGAAUUCUAUAAAACAACAACAGAAGCUCUAAAAAAUGCUAAGAAUGAUAAACUGUGGUUUAAGACAACUACGAAGGUUAGGAAAUUAAAUUGAGAAUGGAGAGGAAUAUGGAAACGUUCAAAAUAUUUUACACCAGUUACAUCAAUCAUAUCACACUGAUUACGGAGAUGACAACCUGAAAAAGGAUACAGUUAUUAGAGAUAUGAGAUUUGGAAAUUCAACUGUACACAGGACGUAAAAAAUAACAAAAAACUGAAAGUACUCUCUAUAACUGGGCCAGUUCUUGUCAAUUUGCCAUCCCAUAUCCAUUAAUCAUGGAAUUAUCAGAGAAUGAAGGGGCAAAAUGCCCUUAAAAGAAGGUCAUUUUGAAAAUUCACACUCAAUUUUUGAUGCCUUCAAGAAUGAUAAUAAAUUGAGGAGUUCCAUGUGAAUCAUUUGCUUAAAAUAUUUGGCCUUAAGGAAAUAUGCUGAAGAACUUGGAAUAAAUUCAUUUGACUUGCUGGAGGCCACAUCAUGCAAAAGUGAUGCAGAAAUUCUAAUAAUGAUGAGUUUAGUAAGUUCCUAUCAGAAUGACAUUAAAUUUGAAAAGGUUCUGAAAAUAAAACACAGCAACAUUAUGGAUGAUCCCCUAAGAGAAAAAAAGCAAAGAGCUUUUCAAAAUAGUCAAAGCAAGUGCUUACAAAAUUAAGCUUUAUACAACAAUAUAUAUUCCUUUUCUUUCUGAGUUAAACAUAAAUGUAACUGAUGUAGAGAGCCUGCCAAUGCAACACAUGUAACACUAUUCGUGGCCAAACUGAUCAAGUCAACCAAAUACAUCCUCUUAAGGAGGCUGUAGUUAGUAUAAUG